AGGGUGUAAACGCUGCAGACUUGGUGUUGGGAACCCUUCGGGGUGCUCAGUGCCGGAGAGAAGUUGUUAAGUCUGCUACUUGGGGAGUACGUCCGCAGGGAUGAAACUUAAAGGAAUUGGCGGGGGAGCACCGCAACGGGAGGAGCGUGCGGUUUAAUUGGAUUCAACACCGUAAAACUCACCAGGGAAGACUGUUACAUGAAGGCCGAGAUGAAGACUCUGCUAGAUUUUUCAGAGAGGAGGUGCAUGGCGUCAGUGACU
This 261-nucleotide ribosomal RNA is filed under the name uncultured archaeon. RNAcentral's name for it is "partial 16S ribosomal RNA". It matches the Rfam family "Archaeal small subunit ribosomal RNA", at positions 748 to 1008 of the family's 1478-position model. The record is from RNAcentral.